ACGAAGUAAACAAAUCCUCUCUGAACCAAAGAUGGAAUCAACAAAGAAAAAAAAAACUAGCUAGAUAUAAACAAAGAAAGGAAGUGGUAACUUAGAUCUCAUGGAACUCACGAACAACCGAUAUAGAUGUAGAGCCGAUUGAUGACGGACGCCAGAAUGAACAUGAAAGCGAAGCAAGUCCAAAUUAUUUGAGGUGAGAUAAGACUCCAAGAUAGGUUCCGAACAGAUAACCACGGGCCAACGCCUCUUAAGAACAUACUUCUUCUAAGGAAGCCACAAGACGACGUAUCUU
RNAcentral lists this long non-coding RNA (292 nucleotides) under Brassica rapa (field mustard). Its description in RNAcentral is "long non-coding RNA (BRAP_LNC007765)". Lineage: Eukaryota; Viridiplantae; Streptophyta; Magnoliopsida; Brassicales; Brassicaceae. The record is from RNAcentral.